CACGUAGGCACCAAGCGUUGUCCGGAUUUAUUGGGCGUAAAGAGCUCGUAGGCGGUUCGGUAAGUCGGGUGUGAAAACUUUGGGCUCAACCCAAAGCGUGCACUCGAUACUGCCAUGACUAGAGUUCGGUAGGGGAGUGGGGAAUUCCUAGUGUAGCGGUGAAAUGCGCAGAUAUUAGGAGGAACACCGGUGGCGAAGGCGCCACUCUGGGCCGAAACUGACGCUGAGGAGCGAAAGCGUGGGUAGCAAACAGG
This 254-nucleotide ribosomal RNA is filed under the name uncultured bacterium. RNAcentral describes it as "partial 16S ribosomal RNA". It matches the Rfam family "Bacterial small subunit ribosomal RNA", at positions 524 to 776 of the family's 1533-position model. RNAcentral also lists the same sequence under 2 other names. The record is from RNAcentral.